CAGGCCUAACACAUGCAAGUCGAGCGGUAACAGAUCCAGCUUGCUGGAUGCUGACGAGCGGCGGACGGGUGAGUAACGCAUAGGAAUUUACCCGAUAGUGGGGGAUAACCUGGGGAAACUCAGGCUAAUACCGCAUACGUCCUACGGGAGAAAGGGGGCUCCGGCUCCCGCUAUCGGAUGAGCCUAUGCCGGAUUAGCUGGUUGGUGAGGUAAUGGCUCACCAAGGCGACGAUCCGUAGCUGGUCUGAGAGGAUGAUCAGCCACAUCGGGACUGAGACACGGCCCGAACUCCUACGGGAGGCAGCAGUGGGGAAUAUUGGACAAUGGGGGCAACCCUGAUCCAGCCAUGCCGCGUGUGUGAAGAAGGCCCUCGGGUUGUAAAGCACUUUCAGCGAGGAAGAACGCCUGGCGGUUAAUACCCGCCAGGAAAGACAUCACUCGCAGAAGAAGCACCGGCUAACUCCGUGCCAGCAGCCGCGGUAAUACGGAGGGUGCAAGCGUUAAUCGGAAUUACUGGGCGUAAAGCGCGCGUAGGUGGCUUGAUAAGCCGGUUGUGAAAGCCUCCGGCUCAACCUGGGAACGGCAUCCGGAACUGUCAGGCUAGAGUGCAGGAGAGGAAGGUGGAAUUCCCGGUGUAGCGGUGAAAUGCGUAGAGAUCGGGAGGAAUACCAGUGGCGAAGGCGGCCUUCUGGACUGACACUGACACUGAGGUGCGAAAGCGUGGGUAGCAAACAGGAUUAGAUACCCUGGUAGUCCACGCCGUAAACGAUGUCGACCAGCCGUUGGGUGCCUAGCGCACUUUGUGGCGAAGUU
This 813-nucleotide ribosomal RNA is filed under the name uncultured bacterium. RNAcentral's name for it is "bacterial SSU rRNA". It matches the Rfam family "Bacterial small subunit ribosomal RNA", at positions 43 to 853 of the family's 1533-position model. The record is from RNAcentral.